Non-coding RNA from Drosophila virilis, 361 nucleotides. The record is from RefSeq and is a predicted model, not a curated record. Lineage: Eukaryota; Metazoa; Arthropoda; Insecta; Diptera; Drosophilidae.
GCAAUUAAUAUUCGUGUAUUGAAAAGCAAAGGGUCAACUAUGCAGACAGUAGCUGCCCGGCAGAACCCGACAUCUUGAUAUUUUGAUCUAUUUUGGCAAGAUGGCGUCCGAUCCUGACAAGAUUCCCUCUUAGCUUACAAGUAAAUAAAUAAAGACCGAUCCCAGGAUAAUUGUGCGCGUAAAUUUCGCGGAGGUCCAUAGAGCAGAUUGACAUCAAAGUUCUUUGACUAUAGUCUAACCAAAAUAAUUUGUAAUUCCCAGAUGACCUUGGUUUAAGCAUACAAUUGAUAGAGUCUUUCUUGGAGAACCUAUAGUUCCAAAUUUCAGAAUAAAUCGCUUGAAAGCAUUAUUUACAUUUAAA